Molecule: long non-coding RNA, 640 nt
Filed under: Anas platyrhynchos platyrhynchos (common mallard)
Lineage: Eukaryota; Metazoa; Chordata; Aves; Anseriformes; Anatidae
Description: lncRNA (ENSAPLG00000017614.1)
Source: RNAcentral
AAAUUAUUUUCAUGGUUUUGUUGGAAACCCAAAUUAUUUUCACGGUUUUGUUGAAAUUGCAGGCUUAUCUUUGUGGUUUUGUUUGAAAGCCGGGUUUAUUUUAUGGUUUUGUUCAAGUUCUGGGCUUAUCUUCACGGUUUUGGUUGAAAUCCAGGCUUAUCGUCACGGUUUUGUUCAAAAUUUGGGCUUUUCACCCCAGUUUUGCUCGAAAUCCAGAUUUAUUUUACAGUUUCGUUCAAGUGCUGGGCUUAUCUUCACGCUCUUGUUUGAAAUCUGCAUUUAUUUUUGUGGUUUCAUUCAAAUUCUGGGCUUUCCAUCCCAAUUUUGUUUGAAAUCCAGGUUUAUUUUACAGUUUUCUUCAAGUUCUGGACUUACAUUCAUGGUUUUGGUCAAAAUCCACAUUUAUUAUCAUGGUUUUAUUCAAAUCUGGGCUUUCCAUCCCACUUUUGUUCGAAAUCUGGGUUUCUUUUCACAGUUUUAUUGGAAAUCCAGGCUUAUAUUCAUGGUUUUCUUCAUAUUUUGGGCUUAUUUUCGUGUUUUUCUUCUAAUUCUGGGCUUCUCCUCCUGGUUGUGUUCAAAUCCAGGCUUAUAUUCACGGUUUUCUUCAUAUUUUGGGUUUAUUUUCAUAUUUUUCUUCUAA